This 69-nucleotide transfer RNA is filed under the name Loxodonta africana (African savanna elephant). It matches the Rfam family "tRNA". Rfam says of the family: Transfer RNA (tRNA) molecules are approximately 80 nucleotides in length. Their secondary structure includes four short double-helical elements and three loops (D, anti-codon, and T loops). Further hydrogen bonds mediate the characteristic L-shaped molecular structure. tRNAs have two regions of fundamental functional importance: the anti-codon, which is responsible for specific mRNA codon recognition, and the 3' end, to which the tRNAs corresponding amino acid is attached (by aminoacyl-tRNA synthetases). tRNAs cope with the degeneracy of the genetic code in two manners: having more than one tRNA (with a specific anti-codon) for a particular amino acid; and 'wobble' base-pairing, i.e. permitting non-standard base-pairing at the 3rd anti-codon position. Lineage: Eukaryota; Metazoa; Chordata; Mammalia; Proboscidea; Elephantidae. The record is from Rfam by way of RNAcentral.
GCUGGUGCAAGUGGUUAACCCGUUUGGCCUCUAACCAAAAGGUAGGUGGUUCAAGUCCACCCACAGGCA